GAUGAACGCUGGCGGCGUGCCUAAUACAUGCAAGUAGAACGCUGAAGGAGGAGCUUGCUUCUCUGGAUGAGUUGCGAACGGGUGAGUAACACGUAGGUAACCUGCCUGGUAGAGGGGGAUAACUAUUGGAAACGAUAGCUAAUACCGCAUAAUAGUAGAUGUUGCAUGACAUUUGCUUAAAAGGUGCAAUUGUAUCACUACCAGAUGGACCUGCGUUGUCUUAGCUAGUUGGUGGGGUAACGGCGCCCCAAGGCGACGAUACAGAGCCGACCCGGGAGGGGGAUCGGCCACACUGGGACUGGGACACGGCCCAGACUCCUACGGGAGGCAGCAGUAGGGAAACUUCGGCAAUGGGCGGAAGUCUGACCGAGCAACGCCGCGUGAGUGAAGAAGGUUUUCGGAUCGUUAAGCUCUGUUGUAAGGGAAGAACGAGUGUGGGAGUGGAAAGUUCACACUGUGACGGUAUCUUACCAGAAAGGGACGGCUAACUACGUG
This 495-nucleotide ribosomal RNA is filed under the name uncultured bacterium. RNAcentral describes it as "partial 16S ribosomal RNA". It matches the Rfam family "Bacterial small subunit ribosomal RNA", at positions 28 to 507 of the family's 1533-position model. The record is from RNAcentral.